RNAcentral lists this transfer-messenger RNA (123 nucleotides) under Rhodospirillaceae bacterium. Its description in RNAcentral is "partial transfer-messenger RNA". It matches the Rfam family "Alphaproteobacteria transfer-messenger RNA", at positions 1 to 121 of the family's 355-position model. Rfam says of the family: Bacterial tmRNA, also known as 10Sa RNA or SsrA, is named for its dual tRNA and mRNA-like properties. The record is from RNAcentral. Lineage: Bacteria; Pseudomonadati; Pseudomonadota; Alphaproteobacteria; Rhodospirillales; Rhodospirillaceae.
AGUCUUUCGUUUUUGCCCCACCGACCCUAUAUAAUAGGGCGUCGGGUUUACUCGACUAUGGCGAUAAACGUUUUGCGCAAUAAACGUUCGGACCCGGGGGCAGUACCCGGCGCCUCCACCAUU